GUGUCGUUGGUGUUAGCGGUUAGCAUGGGAGCUUGUGAAGCUUUUGGGACGGGUUCGAAUCCCGUAUGGCACAC
This 74-nucleotide transfer RNA is filed under the name uncultured marine phage. RNAcentral describes it as "tRNA-His". It matches the Rfam family "tRNA". From Rfam's summary of the family: Transfer RNA (tRNA) molecules are approximately 80 nucleotides in length. Their secondary structure includes four short double-helical elements and three loops (D, anti-codon, and T loops). Further hydrogen bonds mediate the characteristic L-shaped molecular structure. tRNAs have two regions of fundamental functional importance: the anti-codon, which is responsible for specific mRNA codon recognition, and the 3' end, to which the tRNAs corresponding amino acid is attached (by aminoacyl-tRNA synthetases). tRNAs cope with the degeneracy of the genetic code in two manners: having more than one tRNA (with a specific anti-codon) for a particular amino acid; and 'wobble' base-pairing, i.e. permitting non-standard base-pairing at the 3rd anti-codon position. The record is from RNAcentral.